Molecule: ribosomal RNA, 253 nt
Filed under: uncultured bacterium
Lineage: Bacteria
Description: partial 16S ribosomal RNA
Rfam family: Bacterial small subunit ribosomal RNA
Source: RNAcentral
UACGUAGGUGGCAAGCGUUGUCCGGAUUUAUUGGGCGUAAAGAGCGUGUAGGCGGCCAGACAAGUCUGCUGUGAAAACUCGAGGCUCAACCUCGAGCUGUCGGUGGAAACUGUCUGGCUAGAGUCCGGAAGAGGAGAGUGGAAUUCCUGGUGUAGCGGUGAAAUGCGCAGAUAUCAGGAAGAACACCUAUGGCGAAGGCAGCUCUCUGGGACGGUACUGACGCUGAGACGCGAAAGCGUGGGGAGCGAACAGG